AUACGGAAGGUCCGGGCGUUAUCCGGAUUUAUUGGGUUUAAAGGGUGCGUAGGCGGCCUUGUAAGUCAGCGGUGAGAUUUUGCAGCUUAACUGUAAAAGUGCCGUUGAUACUGUGAGGCUAGGAUUUGGUUGCUGUGGGUGGAAUGUGUGGUGUAGCGGUGAAAUGCUUAGAGAUCACACAGAAUAUCGAUUGCGAAGGCAGCUCACAAAGCCAAGAUUGACGCUGAGGCACGAAAGUGUGGGGAUCAAACAGGAUUAGAUACCCUGGUAGUCCACACUGUAAACGAUGAUAACUCGCUGUCGGCGAUAUACAGUCGGUGGCCAAGCGAAAGCGAUAAGUUAUCCACCUGGGGAGUACGACCGCAAGGUUGAAACUCAAAUGAAUUGGCGGGG
Molecule: ribosomal RNA, 393 nt
Filed under: uncultured bacterium
Lineage: Bacteria
Description: partial 16S ribosomal RNA
Rfam family: Bacterial small subunit ribosomal RNA
Source: RNAcentral